ACCUUUUCAGGGUCGCACCUGGAGAGUUUCCAGUACUCUACCAGUCUCGACAACGGGAGGGAGAGUCGAGCAGAGGCAUACCCAUUCCAUUCCUAAAUUGGGCAGUAGCUACAGACUGGAAGGCAAUCUGCCACAAGU
Ornithorhynchus anatinus (platypus) is the source of this 138-nucleotide non-coding RNA. The record is from Rfam. Lineage: Eukaryota; Metazoa; Chordata; Mammalia; Monotremata; Ornithorhynchidae.